This 432-nucleotide ribosomal RNA is filed under the name uncultured bacterium. Its description in RNAcentral is "partial 16S ribosomal RNA". It matches the Rfam family "Bacterial small subunit ribosomal RNA", at positions 29 to 506 of the family's 1533-position model. The record is from RNAcentral.
AACGAACGCUGGCGGCAGGCCUAACACAUGCAAGUCGAGCGAGGACUUCGGUCCUAGCGGCGGACGGGUGAGUAACGCGUGGGAACGUGCCCUUUGCUUCGGAAUAGCCCUGGGAAACUGGGAGUAAUACCGGAUGAGCCCUUUGGGGGAAAGAUUUAUCGGCGAAGGAUCGGCCCGCGUUGGAUUAGGUAGUUGGUGGGGUAAUGGCCUACCAAGCCGACGAUCCAUAGCUGGUUUGAGAGGAUGAUCAGCCACACUGGGACUGAGACACGGCCCAGACUCCUACGGAAGGCAGCAGUGGGGAAUCUUAGACAAUGGGGGAAACCCUGAUCUAGCCAUGCCGCGUGAGCGAUGAAGGCCUUAGGGUUGUAAAGCUCUUUCAGCUGGGAAGAUAAUGACGGUACCAGCAGAAGAAGCCCCGGCGAACUCCGU